This 4328-nucleotide long non-coding RNA is filed under the name Homo sapiens (human). RNAcentral's name for it is "HSALNT0246015". The record is from RNAcentral. Lineage: Eukaryota; Metazoa; Chordata; Mammalia; Primates; Hominidae.
CCGCUUCCAGAAUAAAGGGCUGAUUAUCAGAAAUCAAGUGGCCCUCGGCCAUGGGCCCAGCUAAGGGCACACCCCUCUGAGGGCAGGGGCUUCCAAGGACCAUUGAGGCUAAUAUGAAGGCCCAGCCCUCUUUCCCCAACUCGGGGUAGUGCUGGGGGCCUCCUGUCUACAGAGCUCCUGCAAGAUGGAUGCAGUUCCUCAGGACUGACUGCGUGGCCGCUGCCUCUGCCCUCUGCUGGGUCCUGCCUCCUGAUGCUGUUCUCCGCACAGGAAUCCAGAACUGAUUACCCCCCCAACCAGGAGUCUCCCUUCCCCUAAACCCUCUGGGGUGGAUUUUAUCCUGAAAGUGCUUUGGAGUCUCAGGCAGGAGAGAAAAGAGAAGGAAUUUGAGUUAUAGAAAGAAUUCUCUUGCAACCGUGGCCGAGUGUUUGUGGGAGGAAAGCUGGGAGGAUGAGGGCCACACGUUGGAGGGUGUCUAACCGUCUGUGUUAGCACUGGACAGCCACUCCCCGAAGGACCCUCAGUCCCAGCCAAGCCAGCUCGGUGGGUCAGCCUGGCUGGUCUGGAGGCCUUUACGGUACAUCAGGUAGAGAGACAGAGGCUGGCAAAGGACGGAGCAGACUCUGGGAAUGUUUGGGGACAAUCAACAGAUCUUGGAGGAGUCAAGACUGCAGGAGGAAAACAUUCAUUUUGGCCACGUAGAGACUGAAGUUCCAGCGGGACACCUGGAUUUCAGGACAGGCCUGGGAACUGCCAUCACAGAAAUAAUAACGCAAUGGAAUUCUAAGAAACAUGAACGGCCAAGGCAGCCCAUGAAGUCCUUCCUGACUUGUGUCACUUCCCUGUAUCAGGCAAGCACUCACGCUGACGUGAUGGCAUAGAAGGACAGGGAAAGGCGGGACCCGCUCCGGCUCUUUUCCUCUCAGCCCUUCCUUACUCAUAGCCAGCCCCUGCCAAAGGCUGCUACCAAGACUGGAGUUGAAACCAGGGGCCGCAGGGCCGGGGCACUGAGGGCCCUCACCCACGCGGGCAAACGCCCCGAGCCUUGGGUAGUGGGCAAUGCAGGGAGAGGUGAUGAGAACUCAGCCAUUGCCCAGCACCACGGGCAGACCAGGGAGAGCCGCUCUGCCUUGGGGUUUCAAGAGCUUAUUUUCUGAUACAUGAAUCAAAUGAGAGUGAAACGAAAAUGUGGCAGGGCAGUAUGAAAAGGGGGAAAGAAUAACCUGUCCGUGGAAAAACCUGACACCUCCCGCUCAGCCAGGUGAUCCGGGCCCACAUCACAGCCGCAUGGUGGGUGAGAGCUCGGACCCUUCACGUGGUGGGGUGAGAAGCGCACUUCACCUCCGUGCUUCUGGCCCCGGAGAAAAACCGAGACACAUCCCAAUAGAGGGACGGUCUGUAAAACCCCUGACCAGGCUGGGCGCAGUGGCUCACGCCUGUAAUCCCAGCACUUUGGGAGGCCAAGGCGGGCGGAUCACUUGAAGUCAGAAGUUCGAGACCAGCCUGGCCAAUAUGGUGAAACCGUGUCCCUACUAAAAUACAAAAAAAAAAAAAAAAUGUUGGGCAUGGUGAUGCACACCUGUAGUCCCAGCUACUCGGGAGGCUGAGGUAAGGAGAAUCGCUUGAACUUAGGAGGUGAAAGUUGCUGUGAGCUGAGAUUGCACCAUUGUACUCCAGCCUGGGUGACAGAGCAAAACUCCGUCUCAAAAACAAACAAACAAAAAACACAAGGAAAGUCCGAGUACUGUCACAGCCAAGAGGAGCCUGGAGACCCGAACACUGCAUGUCAUGUGAGAUCCUGGAAAAGAAAAAGGAUAAUAGGUAAAAACCAGGGCAAUGUGGAGAAAGUGUGGACUUUAACAUCAAUGCUGGUUCUUUAAUUGUGACAAAUUUCCCACAUGAAUGAAAGGUAUUAAUGGGAGGGGAAAUGGUGUCAGGUAAUGAGAACUCUGUACAGUCUGCAACACUUGUCUGCAGGUCGAAAACCAUUCUAACAUGAAAAGUUUACUGUUUCUUUUUUAAAGCAACGGAACAUCAUUCAAAGAAUACAGAUAGUUUACAAGAGAAGAAAUACAAAUGAAUCAACAAACGUGAUAAAAUCCUCAAUCUUAGUGAUGAUUUAAUACAAAUAAAAACAGCAAUGAGGCAUUUUUGCCAAGAUGCAAAGAUCUAAAACUCUGAUAAUAUCACAUGUCGGAGGAGGCAUGCGGAAACAGGUGUGCACUGUGGCAGGUGAAGAAAUAAAUUGGUAAGGUGUUGUUAUCUCUUAUAAUAUACAAUCUUCAUACACUGUGAGCCAGCAACUCCACUUCCAGAAACUUCACCCAUAGAAAUAUUGGGACAGAAACAUUUACUCAAGUGCACGAAGAUAUUUGAAGCAGUAUUGUUUUGUAAGGGGGAAAAAUUGAGGAAAAGGGAGUCUAUGAAAAGAAAAUUGGCUAAAUAAAUUUUGAUACAUUGAAUGAAAUGUUAUACAUUCUCUUAAAAGCACUAAGUAUAUUUUUAAGGAAUAUGUAAGGCAUAUUCUUGCAUAGUAUGAUUUUUGAGCUAUGUUAUUAAGUUAAAAAAAGGAAGUUGUAAAACAUUUCAAUAGUGUGUAUACACAUAGGUGUACGUGUGUAUAAACAGGGCUGAUGUUGCAGGAACACAACGGCUGUGGUCACACAGGGCCCCGAGCCCAGAAGGACCUGUGCUUGGCUUAAUGCCCUGCCACUGCCAGCUCAAAAUUCUUAAUAAUUUUAUCUUUGUUGGGUGCAAUGGCUCAUGCCUGUAAUCCCAGCACUUUGGGAGGCUGAGAUGGGGGGGGGUCACUUAAGCCCAGGAGUUCAAGACCAGCCUGGGCAACACAGUGAGACCCCCAUCUUUACAAAAAAUAAAAAAUAUUAGCCAGGCACAAUGGCAUGUGCCUGUAGUUCCGGCUAUUCAGAAGACUGAGAAGGGAGAAUGGCUUGAGCCUGGAUUUUUGUUUGUUUGUUUGUUUUGUUUUGUUUUGAGACAGAGUCUUGAUCUGUCGCCCAGGCUGAAGUGCAGUGGUGCGAUCUCCGCUCACGGCAAGCUCCGCCUCCCUGGUUCACGCCAUUCUUCUGCCUCAGCCUCCCGAGUGGCUGGGACGAUAGGCGCCCACCACCAAGCUUGGCUAAUUUUUUUGUAUUUUUUUUUAGUAGAGACGGGGUUUCACCGUGUUAGCCAGGAUGGUCUCGAUCUCCUGAUCUCGUGAUCCGCCCGCCUUGGCCUCCCAAAGUGCUGGGAGAGCCUGGGAGUUUUUGUUGUUGUUGUUGUUGGUUUUUUUUGAGACAAGAGUUUCACUCUGUCAUCCAGGCUGGAGUGCAGUGGUGCAAUCUCGGCUUACUGCAAUCUCUGCCUUUCGGGUUCAAGCAAUUCUCCUGCCUCAGCCUCCCGAGUAGCUGGAAUUAUAGAUGCCUGCCACCAUGCCCGGCUAAUUUUUUUUUUUUUGUAUUUUUAGUGGAGACGGGGUUUCGCCAUGUAGGCCAGGCUGAUCUCAAACUCCUGACCUCAGGUGAUCCAUCCACCUUGACCUCCCAAAGUGCUGGGAUCACAGGCAUGAGUCACUGCGCCCAGCCAAGCCUGGGAAUUUGAGGCUGCACUCCAGCCUGGGCGACAGAGCAAGACCCUGUCUCGACAUAAUAACAUAAUAAUAAUAAUGAUGAUGAUUAUUUUAUCUUUGAGCUUGUGUUUUGCAACUGAGGUCUCUGGGGUGGUGGAGCGCACGUGUGGGCAGAGACUCACAGGACGUGCCCUACUGCCAUAUCACAUUGGCAAAGCCCCAUGAGCACAGUGUCCCAGCAGACCCACGCCCGUGGGUGUUCAGUGAGACUCAGUGAGCAAGGUGAACAUAUCAUGUCUGCAGCUGAGGACGAGGGGACCCAGGUGGUUCCAAAUGCCCACGCUUUCUGUUCCAACCAGAACUUGCUUCAAUCACAGAAAUAAUAACGCAAUGGAAUUCUAAGAAACAUGAACGGCCAAGGCAGCCCAUGAAGUCCUUCCUGACUUGUGUCAUUUCCCUGUAUCAGCCAAGCACUCACGCUGACGUGAUGGCAUAGAAGGACAGGGAAAGGCGGGGCCCACUCCGGCUCUUUUCCUCUCAGCCCUUCCUUACUCAGCAGGAGGCUGGAGGCGGGGAGUGUUGGGAGAAUGUGCAUCUCAAGAAGUGAAAUACACGCAGCUGAGUCUGGUUUGUGGGGCGUCUCCACUCCGCUGCUAAACACGAAGGUUAUCUACAUUGAGCAAAGCAAAAAUCCCAGACCAACCGUGGCAGAUGGCAGAGGAAGAGACCAAAGGCUGAGAGACGUGGCGGGGCUGGAGUGGCG